AUAGAGGGGUAUGGGUGGUGAGACGUAGACCAUUUGAAAGUCUUUGGUUAAGAUAAAGGGGAAUAAAGGAAUGGCAUCAUGGCAGAGGUCUACUAUAGUCCACUAGAUCAGGAAGAGGAGGUGGACGAGGCAUUUAUAGAACAAAUAACAGCAAUAUCCAAAAAUUAAGACCUAGUAAUAAGGGGGAAUUUAACUAUCCAGCGGAGCCGGCUUUAGGCCGAUUCCCCCAAUUCCCGUGAAUCGGGCCCCACGCCUAAGACGGCCCCGCAGCAUCCGGAAGAGGGAUCCUGCAAGUAGCACCUAAAGACCCAAAACCAGGAUCCCAUGGUGCUAAGUGGCAUAACACAUAACGAGAGACGAUUCCAAGCUCCAAGCGCCUGCAUUCUGAAUAGCCAGGACAGACAAGGCAUUGUCAUCCCAUUUUACAGUUGGGCUAGCGGUUUAUUUUCCUCUGCAUCGUAUGGAUCCCCCUGGAGAGAAGGCGAGGGAGAAAAAUAAAGGUUUGAACAAGAGAUUGCAAGUGGGAAACAAGCUGAAGAAUGUGUGAAAGCUCCAGCUCCAGCUCCAGCUCCAUCCUAAAUUAUCUAGAGGUGUUCAAUAGACUGUGUUACAGCGAGUGGGCCAGCCUCUCAGUGGGUGUAAAUGGGUGUACACCGACAGAAGUCAGUGAAGGAGGACAGUUUCACUGUGAAGCCAACAGCCUAAAUACCAGGCAAGCUGGAUUCAAUUCCUGGCUGUGCCACAGACUUCCUGAGUGACCUAAGGUGUCUGUCAUAACCUUCAAAUAUACUUAAAAAGCUCAUCCAUCCCGGGAUAGAACAUAUGAUGAGAAGAAAGCAGGAUUCACAGACCAAAGCCACAACUACCACACAAGUUUUUG
Long non-coding RNA from Mauremys mutica (yellowpond turtle), 880 nucleotides. RefSeq lists it as uncharacterized. The transcript is spliced from 6 exons. The record is from RefSeq and is a predicted model, not a curated record. Lineage: Eukaryota; Metazoa; Chordata; Testudines; Geoemydidae.